Molecule: transfer RNA, 63 nt
Filed under: Trichonephila inaurata madagascariensis
Lineage: Eukaryota; Metazoa; Arthropoda; Arachnida; Araneae; Nephilidae
Description: tRNA-Arg
Rfam family: tRNA
About the family: Transfer RNA (tRNA) molecules are approximately 80 nucleotides in length. Their secondary structure includes four short double-helical elements and three loops (D, anti-codon, and T loops). Further hydrogen bonds mediate the characteristic L-shaped molecular structure. tRNAs have two regions of fundamental functional importance: the anti-codon, which is responsible for specific mRNA codon recognition, and the 3' end, to which the tRNAs corresponding amino acid is attached (by aminoacyl-tRNA synthetases). tRNAs cope with the degeneracy of the genetic code in two manners: having more than one tRNA (with a specific anti-codon) for a particular amino acid; and 'wobble' base-pairing, i.e. permitting non-standard base-pairing at the 3rd anti-codon position.
Source: RNAcentral
CAGCACAUUGGAUAGGGCGUUGCACUUCUAAUUCAAAGGUCAUGGGUUCGAAUCCCAUCUAGA